This 442-nucleotide ribosomal RNA is filed under the name uncultured bacterium. RNAcentral describes it as "partial 16S ribosomal RNA". It matches the Rfam family "Bacterial small subunit ribosomal RNA", at positions 338 to 795 of the family's 1533-position model. The record is from RNAcentral.
CCUACGGGGGGCAGCAGUGGGGAAUAUUGGGCAAUGGGCGCAAGCCUGACCCAGUAAUGCCGCGUGAAGGAAGAAGGCUUUCGGGUUGUAAACUUCUUUGACAGGGGAAGAGCAGAAGACGGUACCCUGAAAACAAGCCACGGCUAACUACGUGCCAGCAGCCGCGGUAAUACGUAGGUGGCAAGCGUUGUCCGGAUUUACUGGGUGUAAAGGGCGUGUAGCCGGGAAGGCAAGUCUGAUGUGAAAUCUGGAGGCUCAACCUCCAAAUUGCAUUUGAAACUGUUUUUCUUGAGUACUGGAGAGGCAGACGGAAUUCCUUGUGUAGCGGUGAAAUGCGUAGAUAUAAGGAGGAACACCAGUGGCGAAGGCGGUCUGCUGGACAGCAACUGACGGUGAGGCGCGAAAGCGUGGGGAGCAAACAGGAUUAGAUACCCCGGUAGUC